AGGAUGAACGCUGGCGGCGUGCCUAACACAUGCAAGUCGAACGGAAUUUACAUGAAGCCUAGCGAUUGUAAAUUUAGUGGCGGACGGGUGAGUAACGCGUGGGUAACCUGCCUUGUACUGGGGGACAACAGUUGGAAACGACUGCUAAUACCGCAUAAGCGCACAGCUUCGCAUGAAGCAGUGUGAAAAACUCCGGUGGUACAAGAUGGACCCGCGCCUGAUUAGCUGGUUGGUGAGGUAACGGCCCACCAAGGCGACGAUCAGUAGCCGGCCUGAGAGGGUGAACGGCCACAUUGGGACUGAGACACGGCCCAAACUCCUACGGGAGGCAGCAGUGGGGAAUAUUGCACAAUGGGGGAAACCCUGAUGCAGCGAUGCCGCGUGGAGGAAGAAGGUUUUCGGAUUGUAAACUCCUGUCGUAAGGGAAGAGGAAGGACUGUACCUUACAAGAAAGCUCCGGCUAACUACGUGCCAGCAGCCGCGGUAAUACGUAGGGAGCGAGCGUUGUCCGGAAUGACUGGGUGUAAAGGGAGCGUAGGCGGGAUGGCAAGUCAGAUGUGAAACCUGAGGGCUCAACCUUCAGACUGCAUUUGAAACUGCUGUUCUUGAGUGAAGUAGAGGUAAGCGGAAUUCCUGGUGUAGCGGUGAAAUGCGUAGAGAUCAGGAGGAACAUCGGUGGCGAAGGCGGCUUACUGGGCUUUUACUGACGCUGAGGCUCGAAAGCGUGGGGAGCAAACAGGAUUAGAUACCCUGGUAGUCCACGCUGUAAACGAUGAUUACUAGGUGUGGGGGGAUUGACCCCUUCCGUGCCGCAGUUAACACAAUAAGUAAUCCACCUGGGGAGUAC
Molecule: ribosomal RNA, 847 nt
Filed under: uncultured bacterium
Lineage: Bacteria
Description: bacterial SSU rRNA
Rfam family: Bacterial small subunit ribosomal RNA
Source: RNAcentral